This 1538-nucleotide ribosomal RNA is filed under the name Staphylococcus aureus subsp. aureus CIG1524. RNAcentral's name for it is "16S ribosomal RNA". It matches the Rfam family "Bacterial small subunit ribosomal RNA". Lineage: Bacteria; Bacillati; Bacillota; Bacilli; Caryophanales; Staphylococcaceae. The record is from RNAcentral.
GAGUUUGAUCCUGGCUCAGGAUGAACGCUGGCGGCGUGCCUAAUACAUGCAAGUCGAGCGAACGGACGAGAAGCUUGCUUCUCUGAUGUUAGCGGCGGACGGGUGAGUAACACGUGGAUAACCUACCUAUAAGACUGGGAUAACUUCGGGAAACCGGAGCUAAUACCGGAUAAUAUUUUGAACCGCAUGGUUCAAAAGUGAAAGACGGUCUUGCUGUCACUUAUAGAUGGAUCCGCGCUGCAUUAGCUAGUUGGUAAGGUAACGGCUUACCAAGGCAACGAUGCAUAGCCGACCUGAGAGGGUGAUCGGCCACACUGGAACUGAGACACGGUCCAGACUCCUACGGGAGGCAGCAGUAGGGAAUCUUCCGCAAUGGGCGAAAGCCUGACGGAGCAACGCCGCGUGAGUGAUGAAGGUCUUCGGAUCGUAAAACUCUGUUAUUAGGGAAGAACAUAUGUGUAAGUAACUGUGCACAUCUUGACGGUACCUAAUCAGAAAGCCACGGCUAACUACGUGCCAGCAGCCGCGGUAAUACGUAGGUGGCAAGCGUUAUCCGGAAUUAUUGGGCGUAAAGCGCGCGUAGGCGGUUUUUUAAGUCUGAUGUGAAAGCCCACGACUCAACCGUGGAGGGUCAUUGGAAACUGGAAAACUUGAGUGCAGAAGAGGAAAGUGGAAUUCCAUGUGUAGCGGUGAAAUGCGCAGAGAUAUGGAGGAACACCAGUGGCGAAGGCGACUUUCUGGUCUGUAACUGACGCUGAUGUGCGAAAGCGUGGGGAUCAAACAGGAUUAGAUACCCUGGUAGUCCACGCCGUAAACGAUGAGUGCUAAGUGUUAGGGGGUUUCCGCCCCUUAGUGCUGCAGCUAACGCAUUAAGCACUCCGCCUGGGGAGUACGACCGCAAGGUUGAAACUCAAAGGAAUUGACGGGGACCCGCACAAGCGGUGGAGCAUGUGGUUUAAUUCGAAGCAACGCGAAGAACCUUACCAAAUCUUGACAUCCUUUGACAACUCUAGAGAUAGAGCCUUCCCCUUCGGGGGACAAAGUGACAGGUGGUGCAUGGUUGUCGUCAGCUCGUGUCGUGAGAUGUUGGGUUAAGUCCCGCAACGAGCGCAACCCUUAAGCUUAGUUGCCAUCAUUAAGUUGGGCACUCUAAGAUGACUGCCGGUGACAAACCGGAGGAAGGUGGGGAUGACGUCAAAUCAUCAUGCCCCUUAUGAUUUGGGCUACACACGUGCUACAAUGGACAAUACAAAGGGCAGCGAAACCGCGAGGUCAAGCAAAUCCCAUAAAGUUGUUCUCAGUUCGGAUUGUAGUCUGCAACUCGACUACAUGAAGCUGGAAUCGCUAGUAAUCGUAGAUCAGCAUGCUACGGUGAAUACGUUCCCGGGUCUUGUACACACCGCCCGUCACACCACGAGAGUUUGUAACACCCGAAGCCGGUGGAGUAACCUUUUAGGAGCUAGCCGUCGAAGGUGGGACAAAUGAUUGGGGUGAAGUCGUAACAAGGUAGCCGUAUCGGAAGGUGCGGCUGGAUCACC